RNAcentral lists this ribosomal RNA (585 nucleotides) under uncultured bacterium. RNAcentral's name for it is "bacterial SSU rRNA". It matches the Rfam family "Bacterial small subunit ribosomal RNA", at positions 338 to 916 of the family's 1533-position model. The record is from RNAcentral.
CCUACGGGAGGCAGCAGUGGGGAAUUUUGGACAAUGGGCGCAAGCCUGAUCCAGCCAUGCCGCGUGCGGGAAGAAGGCCUUCGGGUUGUAAACCGCUUUUGUCAGGGAAGAAAAGGUUCUGGCUAAUACCUGGGACUCAUGACGGUACCUGAAGAAUAAGCACCGGCUAACUACGUGCCAGCAGCCGCGGUAAUACGUAGGGUGCAAGCGUUAAUCGGAAUUACUGGGCGUAAAGCGUGCGCAGGCGGUUAUGCAAGACAGAGGUGAAAUCCCCGGGCUCAACCUGGGAACUGCCUUUGUGACUGCAUAGCUAGAGUACGGUAGAGGGGGAUGGAAUUCCGCGUGUAGCAGUGAAAUGCGUAGAUAUGCGGAGGAACACCGAUGGCGAAGGCAAUCCCCUGGACCUGUACUGACGCUCAUGCACGAAAGCGUGGGGAGCAAACAGGAUUAGAUACCCUGGUAGUCCACGCCCUAAACGAUGUCAACUGGUUGUUGGGAGGGUUUCUUCUCAGUAACGUAGCUAACGCGUGAAGUUGACCGCCUGGGGAGUACGGCCGCAAGGUUGAAACUCAAAUGAAUUGACGG